RNAcentral lists this ribosomal RNA (454 nucleotides) under Cylindera elisae. RNAcentral's name for it is "partial 16S ribosomal RNA". It matches the Rfam family "Bacterial large subunit ribosomal RNA", at positions 1797 to 2523 of the family's 2925-position model. The record is from RNAcentral. Lineage: Eukaryota; Metazoa; Arthropoda; Insecta; Coleoptera; Carabidae.
CGCCUUUUUAACAAAAACAUGUCCUUUUGAAUAUAUUUAAGGUCUAACCUGCCCAAUGAGGAUUUAAAUGGCCGCAGUAUUUUGACUGUGCAAAGGUAGCAUAAUUAUUAGUUUUUUAAUUGAAAGCUUGUAUGAAGGGUUGGACGAGAUAAAAUCUGUCUUUAUUUAAAUUAAAAUAGAAUUUAACUUUUAAGUCAAAAGGCUUAAAUUUUUAUAAAAGACGAGAAGACCCUAUAGAUCUUUAUUUAAUUAAUAUUUUGAUAAUUUAAGAUUAUUUUAAUUUAAAAUUUUAAUUGAAUUUUAUUGGGGUAAUAUAAAGAUUAAAAAAAUUCUUUUUAUUUAUAACAUUAAUUUAUGAAUAUAUGAUCCAAUAUUAUUGAUUAUAAGAUUAAGUUACCUUAGGGAUAACAGCGUAAUUUUUUUGGAGAGCUCAUAUCGAUAAAAAAGUUUGCGA